AGAGCCCGCGGGCCCCGGGGAAGUGCGGGUCGGAAAAGGGGACGGGCCGCGCCACAAAGGUUUUCUUCUCCAGAGGCAACAGCUCGGCCUCCGGGGCCGUGAGCAGCCCAGGAACCGUGGCCCCAGCUUCCAGGUGCUAGGCAGCCGAAGCCUGGCAACCAGCUCCGGGGAGCCCAGCUGGGGCGGGGAGGCUGGACUGGGCGCUGGGCCAGAGGAACCUCGGCCCCAGCCUCCGGCUGCGCCCACAUUCCUCCCUUGGCCGCAGCCCUGCCACCGAGGUCGGGCCCAGCCCAGUCCUGGGGUGCCUGGUCGCCACCCCCACCCUUGAAGACACCACACUCCAGGCAGGCAGCUGAUAUUUUUAUUGGCCUUCCUGUCCUCUGGGAAACCGGUCUGGUCCCACCAGCUACCCAUUCUCUCAACUGUUUCUGGGGAAAGGCAUGGGGGGGACGGGCAAUCUCCAGCGCGGAUCUUUUCUGCAGCACUUAGUGACUCCUGCCCUCCUGCUGGGGAAGAGAGGCAAGCCGACGUCUAGCAAAUCCUGCCUCAGGAUGAAAGUGUAGGGGAGGUGGCAGCACUCCCGGGGACCGCCCAGCCCCGGGCUAUGCAGAAGCUAGGCAGGCCUAAUGGCCAGUCCAGGCAGGCCCUGGCUUGCCCUGCUCCAAAGUAUGGAGAUAGAGUCCCGGUAAGCACCAAAUACUUUUUUUUUUUUUUUUUUUUUUUUUUUUUUGAGAGGGAGACUUGCUCUGUCAUCCAGGCUGGAGUGCAGUGGUGCGAUCUCGGCUCACUGCAAACUUCACCUCCCGGGUUCAAGGGAUUCUCUUGCCUUAGCCUCCAGAGUAGCUGGGAUUACAGGCGCCCGUCACCAUGCCUGGUUAAUUUUUGUAUUUUUAGUAGAGACGGGGUUUCACCAUGUUGGCCAGGCUGGCCUCAGUCUACUGACCUCAAGUGAUCCGCCCGCCUUGGCCUCCCAAAGUGCUGGAAUUACAGGCGUGAGCCACCGCACCCAGCCUUAUUUUCUUCUUUUUUUUUUUUUUUGGUGGAGACAGCGGUCUCGCUAUGGUCCCCAGGCUGGUCUCCCAACUCCUGGCCACAAGGGAUCAAGGGAUCCUCCUGGCCAAAGCACUGCCUAUGCAGGUGUGAGCCACCGCCGCCGGCCCAGACUUAUUUUCUAACUGGGCUAGGGGAAAGGGUAGGGUCUGUGUGGAGCUACAGCUGCCUUCAGCCUUUUUUGUUUUUUUUUUUUUUUUGAGACGGAGUCUGGUUCUGUCGCCCAGGCUGGAGGGGUUUACGCCAUUCUCCUGCCUCAGCCUCCUGAGCAGCUGGGACUACAGGCGCGUGCCACCACGCCCAGCUAAUUUUUUUGUAUUUUUAGUAGAGAUGGGGUUUCACCACGUUAGCCAGGAUGGUCUCGAUCUCCUGACCUCGUGAUCCGCCCGCCUCAGCCUCCCAAAGUGGGAGGAUCACCUGAGCCUAGGA
Molecule: long non-coding RNA, 1479 nt
Filed under: Homo sapiens (human)
Lineage: Eukaryota; Metazoa; Chordata; Mammalia; Primates; Hominidae
Description: HSALNT0389214
Source: RNAcentral